AGGAAGGUUGUGGAAUCUUUUUCCUCAAGGCCUAAAACCAACAACUAAAUUUUGAAAUGGAGGCUGAGAUGAAGGUGGAUGAGGAAAGAAGACAGUUACUGGGUGCUCUUCUGCUGUGAGAUGCUAUGGAAGCCUUCUCAGAGCCUGGGAAUAUUUUAGAUUUCCAGCCUUUCACCAGGACCUUUAAGCUUGAGGCAAAUGUUUUGUGUGCAAACCUUCCUUUUGAGCAUCUGGUGCCAAUCAGUGGCAGAGGCAGGACUCUUGAAUAGCUGGGAACCCUGGAUUUUUCUGACACUAAAUAUCAUCUGACAUCCACCAAUGCAUCUGUCUCAGCUAGGGAAGAAGAACCAGAACUGUCCAGCUCUGAAUAUAAUGUUACUGAAUCCUGAAUGCAUGACUCUCGAUCUGGUUCCUGUUCCGGAAAUCUCAAGCUCAUGGCCUUAUUCAAGGAGUGUGAGGAAGCAUGUAAAAAAGUGGAUGGGAAAGAAAACCAUGCAACAGAUAAAUAAUUCAUCUUACUACAGUGCUGAUCAGCCGCCUGGGGGGAUAACAAAUGUAUGAGACCUGGAGAAUUUCUAUCUUUCCUAAUGAAAAGAAGAUUUUGAAUAACCAUAGCAACAGUAAAACCUGCUGUGAAUCUUACAGCACCAAGUGUUGCAGGACUGUCUGCAAAGGUCUCCUGUUAGUCUCUGCAACCAUCUGUUAUUCUGUUUCAGCAGUCCAAAACAUCAAACAGACUUUUUUUUUUAAGCAGUUGCCAAUUUCACUGAAAGAGAAGGACCUCAUGAAGAAGAGGAGAACAGAAUAA
Molecule: long non-coding RNA, 808 nt
Filed under: Dromaius novaehollandiae (emu)
Lineage: Eukaryota; Metazoa; Chordata; Aves; Casuariiformes; Dromaiidae
Description: lncRNA (ENSDNVG00000014837.1)
Source: RNAcentral